UUUAAUUUAAAUUGUCAGUGUCGACAUUAAAAGUAUUUGAAUAAUUUAUUGAGAUUUAUAAAUUACUAUGACAAACUGUAUUACAUCCAUGGCUACAUAAAUAUCUUUUUACAUUAAAUAUAAUUAAGGUUCCAAAAGUAUGUAAAUUUUGUAAAACAACCAAAUACCAAAUUCACAAUGAAGGAGACGGAAAGAGAGCAAGAUGAGAACAUGGCAAAAAUGGACAAAUUUGGCAAUGUUUGGAGCACUUAUAACUUAACAAGGAGAGCAGAGGAGACGUUAAAGUGGAGUGCGGCUUUAGGGUUUCUUAAUAAACGCGGUAACCGGUACUUGGAAAACUUUGCCCUUGAAAUGUGUGGCUGUCGAAAGCGUUGCCCACGGAGAUGCAGCCGCCCUACGAAACGAUGUUGUCGACGCAGACGCCGCCGAUGUUGUUAGCAACUCUGUUGUUUUUUAUAAUAAAAUUAUUAAUUUGGU
Molecule: long non-coding RNA, 477 nt
Organism: Pieris brassicae (large cabbage white)
Lineage: Eukaryota; Metazoa; Arthropoda; Insecta; Lepidoptera; Pieridae
Exons: 2
Source: RefSeq, a predicted model, not a curated record